GCAUGUGAGGAUGGUUUGGUUGUGACACCUGUCACUCCACUGACUGCCAGGGCUGAGCUGGCUGACCUGGCCGGCUAGGCGGGUGUCACCUUCCUCCCUCACAGCUCCAUGUGUCCCUCCUGAAGCUGCACAAUCCAUGGAAGAGGACCAUCAUCCCUGACCAGAGGCCCAUUUCCUCCCCUGCUAGCACCUCCAUACAGGCUCUCAAGAUGGCUCUCUAGCUGAGGAUAUAGCUUAGCAGGCACAGGGCCUGCCUG
Cavia porcellus (domestic guinea pig) is the source of this 257-nucleotide unclassified non-coding RNA. Its record names the gene 7SK. It matches the Rfam family "7SK RNA". From Rfam's summary of the family: 7SK was discovered as an abundant small nuclear RNA in the mid-70s but a possible function has only recently been suggested. Two independent studies have found that 7SK RNA binds the CDK9/cyclin T complex (known as elongation factor P-TEFb). NCBI's taxonomy places the organism in Eukaryota, Metazoa, Chordata, Mammalia, Rodentia, Caviidae. The record is from Ensembl.